UGAUGAGCAAUGUGUGCAGGUGAUGCAUAAUGGCAUCAAUCUGUUUUCUCCCUAGUUGUUGGGCAUUGCGUGGAGUCGAGGUCUAACAAUAUAUAAAGGGGCAAUA
Long non-coding RNA from Gavialis gangeticus (Gharial), 106 nucleotides. RefSeq lists it as uncharacterized. NCBI's taxonomy places the organism in Eukaryota, Metazoa, Chordata, Crocodylia, Gavialidae. The transcript is spliced from 3 exons. The record is from RefSeq and is a predicted model, not a curated record.